Non-coding RNA from Caenorhabditis elegans, 21 nucleotides. NCBI's taxonomy places the organism in Eukaryota, Metazoa, Nematoda, Chromadorea, Rhabditida, Rhabditidae. The record is from Ensembl.
UAUUAUCGUUGCAAAUACGAG